This 549-nucleotide ribosomal RNA is filed under the name uncultured bacterium. RNAcentral describes it as "partial 16S ribosomal RNA". It matches the Rfam family "Bacterial small subunit ribosomal RNA", at positions 355 to 895 of the family's 1533-position model. The record is from RNAcentral.
UGGAGAAUAUUGGACAAUGGGCGCAAGCCUGAUCCAGCAAUGCCGCGUGUGUGAAGAAGGCCUUCGGGUUGUAAAGCACUUUUAUCAGGAGCGAAACGCUGUCGGCUAAUACCCGGCGGAACUGACGGUACCUGAGGAAUAAGCACCGGCUAACUUCGUGCCAGCAGCCGCGGUAAUACGAAGGGUGCAAGCGUUAAUCGGAAUUACUGGGCGUAAAGCGUGCGUAGGCGGUUUCUUAAGUCUGCUGUGAAAUCCCCGGGCUCAACCUGGGAAUGGCAGUGGAUACUGGGAGGCUAGAGUGUGUCAGAGGGUGGUGGAAUUCCCGGUGUAGCGGUGAAAUGCGUAGAGAUCGGGAGGAACAUCAGUGGCGAAGGCGGCCACCUGGGACAACACUGACGCUGAGGCACGAAAGCGUGGGGAGCAAACAGGAUUAGAUACCCUGGUAGUCCACGCCCUAAACGAUGCGAACUGGAUGUUGGUCUCAACUCGGAGAUCAGUGUCGAAGCUAACGCGUUAAGUUCGCCGCCUGGGGAGUACGGUCGCAAGACU